ACAAACUUGGUCAUUUAGAGGAAGUAAAAGUCGUAACAAGGUUUCCGUAGGUGAACCUGCGGAAGGAUCAUUACGGGUUUCCGCGUCCGCGUGGCGCGACCCCCCACCCUUGUGUUCUCUCCACGUUGCUUCGGCGGGCCGCGGGGUCUCCCCCGCCCCCCGGGUCCCCCCAGGGGCGUGCCCGCCGAAGACCCUUUGCAAACGCUUUGUCGCAAACCGGCGGUCUGAACGUCUCAGCGAAAUCAAUCAAAACUUUCAACAACGGAUCUCUUGGUUCUGGCAUCGAUGAAGAACGCAGC
RNAcentral lists this unclassified non-coding RNA (299 nucleotides) under uncultured fungus. Its description in RNAcentral is "partial contains small subunit ribosomal RNA, internal transcribed spacer 1, and 5.8S ribosomal RNA". The stretch from base 1 to 73 matches the Rfam family "Eukaryotic small subunit ribosomal RNA", at positions 1759 to 1831 of the family's 1831-position model. The record is from RNAcentral. Lineage: Eukaryota; Fungi.